AUAUAUUAAUGGAUGACACUACAAAAUACGAGAAAAUGAAAGGAAAAAAGAAAAUAAAGUUUCAAAAGAUGUAAGUACAAACAUUUUGUCUUAUGCAUAAAGUACUGAUAUUGGACAAGUUAAUUUAUUGGGUACAAGGAAGCAAUCUCGAAAGAAAUGUCUAUCUAGCAAGAUGAAACAUUUUGGCAUUCUGGUGAUUAACUGCAUGAAUACACCUUAACCAACUAUCUCUCAAAAGCUUAGGAACAACAUUCAUUGCCUGUGACACCAUACACUCAACAAUGAGUAAAACAUAGAACAGC
Molecule: long non-coding RNA, 302 nt
Filed under: Mytilus galloprovincialis (Mediterranean mussel)
Lineage: Eukaryota; Metazoa; Mollusca; Bivalvia; Mytilida; Mytilidae
Source: RNAcentral